RNAcentral lists this unclassified non-coding RNA (1162 nucleotides) under Hevea brasiliensis (rubber tree). The record is from RNAcentral. Lineage: Eukaryota; Viridiplantae; Streptophyta; Magnoliopsida; Malpighiales; Euphorbiaceae.
AAUUGUGUUCCAUGGAUAGGCCUGCAUCAAGAACGCAAAAAGAUAUCACAUACAACAUAGAAAAAGGUGGACAUCAAAGGACUGCAUUUCAAACAGCAUAACUAAGAACAGUUUGCAGCAAAAUAAAAAAAUAUGGAAGGAAACCGGCAAUCAGUUCACAACAUGCUUGUGACAAUUUCAGAUGGUAUAAACUAACAAUUAACAGUAAUUCAAAAGCAAAGCCUCAAUUAUCACAAGAAAGUCACAACUACCAGAUAACCUGAAACGUUCACUUCAGAUCAAAACAAGACUUACUUGAUGACCUGGCACCACACACCAAUCUGCCACAAGAGCAGUGGAAUAACAGGAAGAGAAACGGUGUUUGCAGGUUUCAGUUUCACAAUUGAUGAACUUUUUACAAUACAAAUGGAUAUCUAUAAACAAAAAUUAAGCAUCACCGUCACUAAAAAGAUUCAUGGAGAACAUAGAUAAGCUGAAUGAUUUCACAUAAAGACAAGGGCAAAAAUUCAUAUUGGAAAUAGCAACAAACGGGCAAUUAUUCAAAUCCAAAGGAGAACUAGAAAGUUUUCAUACAAACAUAUUGACAAAUAGAAAUAAAAAAUACUUUUUUUGAGACUGAUGUAUCAAAAAUUUUGGGUUUACAUGGAAUGGAAACAUGAUAUUCCAAGCUUCAACUCAAAAGAAUGUUGAAUGCUAGCACUCCAAAAUAAUGAGGGCCAAAGUAGAGAAUAAGAAAUUUAGGGAAAUGAGAAACCAUAAAUGUUAUAAAUUAACAUUGAGCACUUUGUUAUGUGUAUAUGGGUGGGCUUGAGCCGUAUCAAGAUACAAAAUACGAAUACAGAAUAAGUACAUAUCAUGUUUGAGCCAUGAGUCCAUGAUUCAAAGAAAUGGAAGUGUAGCAUUCCAAGUACAUGAUGUAUCUCUGUCAAUUAAUUUAUGCAUAAUCAUCUUGGGACGAUUUUUCAUGGAUAAGGAAUCACCUGAAGAAUAAAACUUAUUCAGAUGGAAAAAAACAAGGCAUUUAGAAUAAGACGCAUUCAUAAUUCUGUCUAUGUCAAAGGGGGAUGAUUUAACUCCACAAAAAUUAUAUGAAUUACUUAGCCUUAGAAUGGAGUUAAGAUAAUAGUACAACAAUUUACCUGAAGGUUGAGCUAUAAGAUUU